UUUUUAAAGAGGGAGGAAGAUUCCAUUUUCUUCCAACUAGAUGAGCAGAAACUGUAAAGUCUGACUAUUCGAAGUGCUGGUAAAAACGUGGAGAGAUAGGAGGCCUCCCCUCUGCCAGUAGAAGCAUAAGCUGGUUCACUUUGGAAAGAAAGUUAUGCCAUUCUGUGUCCCAGCAACUCUGCUGCUAGGUAAUGAAUCUAGGGCUUGUACACAAGGCGACUUCACAAGUAUGUUCAUGGCAUCCUCAUUUGCAAGAGUGAAAAUUGUAAUCAGCUUCAAUGCUCUAGACCAGGAGAGCUGGUAAAUAAUUGUUUUUAAUUUAUGCAGUGGAAUACUGUACAGCAGAUUAAAGUGAAUGAACCAGCGUUACACAUGUUAACAUGGACACAUCUCAUAAACACAAUUUUCGGUGAAAUAAAGUUUUUUAAGAAACUGCAUACAGUGGCAUGCAUUUAUAUAAAGCCAAGCAAAAGAUAACAUAUUUAUAUUAUCACUAACAACUGAAGUCAUAGUAAAAUAUGCAGGAGAAUGACAGCUAGCAAAGUCAUGGUCAUAGUUAGCUCUGGAAAAAAGAAGAGAAAAAGGACUGGGAACGAAUACUCAGUGAAUACCAACUCUACCUGGACAUUGGUUUCUUUUGAAAACAUUUCAUGUCAAUAUUUGAUAAAGCUGCUGCUGCUGCUGCUGCUGCUGCUAAGUCGCUUCAGUCGUGUCUGACUCUGUGCGACCCCACAGACGGCAGCCCACCAGGCUCCCCCAUCCCUGGGAUUCUCCAGGCAGGAACACUGGAGUGGGUUGCCAUUUCGUUCUCCAAUGCAUGAAAGUGAAAAGUGAAAGUGAAGUCUCUCAGUCGUGUCCGACUCUUAAAGAGCCCACCGACUGCAGCCUACCAGGCUCCUGCGUCCAUAGGAUUCUCCAGGCAAGACUUGAUAAAGCUAGUAUCUACAUAUUAGCAAAAUCAUCUGCACUUUUCAGUACAUUUGAAAUAUCUUUCAAUAUUAAAGAAAAAGAAUUGGCAGCAAAUGGAUGAAUGGCCUAGUUAUUGGGAGCUUCAUGUUCGUCAGUCACACGUCUGAUACCAACUUUGCUGAGCCUGGCCAGCGCAUCACCAGGACUGCCAAAUCCCCAGCUGCUUAUGGAAGCACCAGAUCUGCUGGAUCUUCAUAAAGCAGGACAAAGCUGCUGCUCCUUACCGCAUGCCAACAGGACAGGAGUGCCUUGGACCAUCCCUGCCCCAAGCUUGAGAGCAAUUACAUUUUCAAAAGGAGGCCGUGUUCCUUUAUCUCAUGAAAAAGUAAUACUUGUAUGAGACUUCCCUAGCAGUCCGGUGGUUAAGACUUCACCUCCAGUGCAGGGGGUGUGAGUUCAAUCCCUGGUCGGGGAGCUGAGAUCGCACAUGCCUCGUGGCCAAGAAACCAAAACAGAAAACAGAGGCAAUAUUGUAACAAAUUCAAUAAAGGCUUUAAAAAUGGUCCA
RNAcentral lists this long non-coding RNA (1476 nucleotides) under Bos indicus x Bos taurus (hybrid cattle). Its description in RNAcentral is "lncRNA (ENSBIXG00005026592.1)". The record is from RNAcentral. Lineage: Eukaryota; Metazoa; Chordata; Mammalia; Artiodactyla; Bovidae.